RNAcentral lists this ribozyme (92 nucleotides) under synthetic construct. The stretch from base 1 to 68 matches the Rfam family "Hairpin ribozyme 1 from viruses-like metatranscriptomes", at positions 31 to 90 of the family's 90-position model. The record is from RNAcentral.
GGAGAGAGAAGUCAACCAGAGAAACACACCAACCCAUUGCACUCCGGGUUGGUGGUAUAUUACCUGGUACGGGGGAAACUUCGUGGUGGCCG